This 780-nucleotide ribosomal RNA is filed under the name Streptomyces acrimycini. RNAcentral's name for it is "bacterial SSU rRNA". It matches the Rfam family "Bacterial small subunit ribosomal RNA", at positions 22 to 818 of the family's 1533-position model. The record is from RNAcentral. Lineage: Bacteria; Bacillati; Actinomycetota; Actinomycetes; Kitasatosporales; Streptomycetaceae.
GCUCAGGACGAACGCUGGCGGCGUGCUUAACACAUGCAAGUCGAACGAUGAACCACUUCGGUGGGGAUUAGUGGCGAACGGGUGAGUAACACGUGGGCAAUCUGCCCUGCACUCUGGGACAAGCCCUGGAAACGGGGUCUAAUACCGGAUACUGAGGUCCGCAGGCAUCUGUGGUUCUCGAAAGCUCCGGCGGUGCAGGAUGAGCCCGCGGCCUAUCAGCUUGUUGGUGAGGUAACGGCUCACCAAGGCGACGACGGGUAGCCGGCCUGAGAGGGCGACCGGCCACACUGGGACUGAGACACGGCCCAGACUCCUACGGGAGGCAGCAGUGGGGAAUAUUGCACAAUGGGCGAAAGCCUGAUGCAGCGACGCCGCGUGAGGGAUGACGGCCUUCGGGUUGUAAACCUCUUUCAGCAGGGAAGAAGCGAAAGUGACGGUACCUGCAGAAGAAGCGCCGGCUAACUACGUGCCAGCAGCCGCGGUAAUACGUAGGGCGCGAGCGUUGUCCGGAAUUAUUGGGCGUAAAGAGCUCGUAGGCGGCUUGUCGCGUCGGUUGUGAAAGCCCGGGGCUUAACCCCGGGUCUGCAGUCGAUACGGGCAGGCUAGAGUUCGGUAGGGGAGAUCGGAAUUCCUGGUGUAGCGGUGAAAUGCGCAGAUAUCAGGAGGAACACCGGUGGCGAAGGCGGAUCUCUGGGCCGAUACUGACGCUGAGGAGCGAAAGCGUGGGGAGCGAACAGGAUUAGAUACCCUGGUAGUCCACGCCGUAAACGGUGGGCACUA